GAGAAUCUGGCUUCAGGUUCGGGACAACAGUUGGAAACGGCUGCUAAUACCGGAUGUGCCUAAGGGUGAAAGAUUUAUCACCUGAAGAUGAGCUCGCGUCUGAUUAGCUAGUAGGUGUGGUAAGAGCGCACCUAGGCGACGAUCAGUAGCUGGUCUGAGAGGAUGAUCAGCCACACUGGGACUGAGACACGGCCCAGACUCCUACGGGAGGCAGCAGUGGGGAAUUUUCCGCAAUGGGCGAAAGCCUGACGGAGCAAUACCGCGUGAGGGAGGAAGGCUCUUGGGUUGUAAACCUCUUUUCUCAGGGAAGAAUGAUGACGGUACCUGAGGAAUAAGCAUCGGCUAACUCCGUGCCAGCAGCCGCGGUAAUACGGAGGAUGCAAGCGUUAUCCGGAAUGAUUGGGCGUAAAGCGUCCGCAGGUGGCAAUGUAAGUCUGCUGUCAAAGCGUCUGGCUCAACCAGAUAAAGGCAGUGGAAACUACAUAGCUAGAGUAAGGUAGGGGUAGAGGGAAUUCCUGGUGUAGCGGUGAAAUGCGUAGAGAUCAGGAAGAACACCGGUGGCGAAAGCGCUCUGCUGGACCUUAACUGACACUGAGGGACGAAAGCUAGGGGAGCGA
This 617-nucleotide ribosomal RNA is filed under the name uncultured cyanobacterium. RNAcentral describes it as "bacterial SSU rRNA". It matches the Rfam family "Bacterial small subunit ribosomal RNA", at positions 119 to 771 of the family's 1533-position model. The record is from RNAcentral. Lineage: Bacteria; Bacillati; Cyanobacteriota.